RNAcentral lists this ribosomal RNA (807 nucleotides) under uncultured bacterium. RNAcentral's name for it is "bacterial SSU rRNA". It matches the Rfam family "Bacterial small subunit ribosomal RNA", at positions 55 to 864 of the family's 1533-position model. The record is from RNAcentral.
AUCCAAGUUGAACGGAAUGAUGAGAGAGCUUGUUUUUUUGGAAAAGUUUAGGGGGGACGGGUGAGUAACGGGGGGGAAACCUGCCUUCCACUGGGGGAUAACAGAAGGAAACGCCUGUUAAUCCCGCAUAAGCGCACGGUGCUGCAUGGCACCGUGUGAAAAACUCCGGUGGGGUAAGAUGGUCCCGCGUCUGAUUAGCUAGUUGGUGAGGUAACGGCCCACCAAGGCGACGAUCAGUAGCCGGCCUGAGAGGGCGUACGGCCACAUUGGGACUGAGACACGGCCCAAACUCCUACGGGAGGCAGCAGUGGGGAAUAUUGCACAAUGGAGGAAACUCUGAUGCAGCGACGCCGCGUGGGGGAUGACGGCCUUCGGGUUGUAAACUCCUUUCACCAUCGACGAAGGUUUUCUGACGGUAGAUGGAGAAGAAGCACCGGCUAACUACGUGCCAGCAGCCGCGGUAAUACGUAGGGUGCGAGCGUUGUCCGGAAUUACUGGGCGUAAAGAGCUCGUAGGUGGUUUGUCGCGUCGUCUGUGAAAUUCCGGGGCUUAACUCCGGGCGUGCAGGCGAUACGGGCAUAACUUGAGUACUGUAGGGGAGACUGGAAUUCCUGGUGUAGCGGUGAAAUGCGCAGAUAUCAGGAGGAACACCGGUGGCGAAGGCGGGUCUCUGGGCAGUAACUGACGCUGAGGAGCGAAAGCAUGGGUAGCGAACAGGAUUAGAUACCCUGGUAGUCCAUGCCGUAAACGGUGGGCGCUAGGUGUAGGGGUCUUCCACGACUUCUGUGCCGUAGCUAACGCAUUAAG